UACGGGGGGGGCUAGCGUUGUUCGGAAUUACUGGGCGUAAAGGGCGCGUAGGCGGUCUGCUAAGUUGGAUGUGAAAACUCUGGGCUUAACCCAGAGCCUGCAUUCAAUACUGACAGGCUAGAGUUCUGGAGGGGAUAGCGGAAUUCCUGGUGUAGCGGUGAAAUGCGUAGAGAUCGGGAGGAACAUCCGUGGCGAAGGCGGCCAUCUGGAUCAACACUGACGCUGAGGCACGAAAGCGUGGGGAGCAAACAGG
This 253-nucleotide ribosomal RNA is filed under the name uncultured bacterium. RNAcentral describes it as "partial 16S ribosomal RNA". It matches the Rfam family "Bacterial small subunit ribosomal RNA", at positions 524 to 776 of the family's 1533-position model. The record is from RNAcentral.